This 492-nucleotide ribosomal RNA is filed under the name uncultured bacterium. Its description in RNAcentral is "partial 16S ribosomal RNA". It matches the Rfam family "Bacterial small subunit ribosomal RNA", at positions 29 to 507 of the family's 1533-position model. The record is from RNAcentral.
AUUGAACGCUGGCGGCAUGCUUUACACAUGCAAGUCGAACGGUAACAGGCCUUCGGGUGCUGACGAGUGGCGAACGGGUAAGUAAUGCAUCGGAACGUACCCAGAGGUGGGGGAUAACGCAGCGAAAGCUGUGCUAAUACCGCAUGUGAUCUGAGGAUGAAAGCGGGGGACCGAGCAGCAAUGUUUGGCCUCGCGCCUUUGGAGCGGCCGAUGUCGGAUUAGCUAGUUGGUGGGGUAAAGGCCUACCAAGGCGACGAUCCGUAGCUGGUCUGAGAGGACGACCAGCCACACUGGGACUGAGACACGGCCCAGACUCCUACGGGAGGCAGCAGUGGGGAAUUUUGGACAAUGGGCGCAAGCCUGAUCCAGCAAUGCCGCGUGCGGGAAGAAGGCCUUCGGGUUGUAAACCGCUUUUGGCAGGAACGAAACGGUGUCCGCUAAUACCGGGCGCUAAUGACGGUACCUGCAGAAUAAGCACCGGCUAACUACGUG